GCCGGCAUGUGAUGUACAAAUCUAUAUCCUACACGCUCAAUGGAAUUACUUCCAUGUGUGGACUAACAAUCUCCGCUUAUUAUCUGAUGCCAUU
Small nucleolar RNA from Phragmites australis (common reed), 94 nucleotides. RefSeq annotates it as small nucleolar RNA R16. NCBI's taxonomy places the organism in Eukaryota, Viridiplantae, Streptophyta, Magnoliopsida, Poales, Poaceae. The transcript has a single exon. The record is from RefSeq and is a predicted model, not a curated record.